AGUGAACGCUGGCGGUAGGCCUAACACAUGCAAGUCGAACGGCAGCACAGUAAGAGCUUGCUCUUACGGGUGGCGAGUGGCGGACGGGUGAGGAGUACAUCGGAAUCUACUUUUUCGUGGGGGAUAACGUAGGGAAACUUACGCUAAUACCGCAUACGACCUACGGGUGAAAGCAGGGGAUCUUCGGACCUUGCGCGAUUGAAUGAGCCGAUGUCGGAUUAGCUAGUUGGCGGGGUAAAGGCCCACCAAGGCGACGAUCCGUAGCUGGUCUGAGAGGAUGAUCAGCCACACUGGAACUGGGACACGGUCCAGACUCCUACGGGAGGCAGCAGUGGGGAAUAUUGGACAAUGGGCGCAAGCCUGAUCCAGCCAUACCGCGUGGGUGAAGAAGGCCUUCGGGUUGUAAAGCCCUUUUGUUGGGAAAGAAAAGCAGCAGGUUAAUACCCCGCUGUUCUGACGGUACCCAAAGAAUAAGCACCGGCUAACUUCGUG
RNAcentral lists this ribosomal RNA (492 nucleotides) under uncultured bacterium. RNAcentral's name for it is "partial 16S ribosomal RNA". It matches the Rfam family "Bacterial small subunit ribosomal RNA", at positions 29 to 507 of the family's 1533-position model. The record is from RNAcentral.